This 256-nucleotide ribosomal RNA is filed under the name Ligilactobacillus sp. UO.C109. RNAcentral describes it as "partial 16S ribosomal RNA". It matches the Rfam family "Bacterial small subunit ribosomal RNA", at positions 94 to 351 of the family's 1533-position model. Lineage: Bacteria; Bacillati; Bacillota; Bacilli; Lactobacillales; Lactobacillaceae. The record is from RNAcentral.
AGUGGCGGACGGGUGAGUAACACGUGGGUAACCUGCCUAAAAGAAGGGGAUAACACUUGGAAACAGGUGCUAAUACCGUAUAUCUCCAAGGAUCGCAUGAUCCUUGGAUGAAAGAUGGUUCUGCUAUCGCUUUUAGAUGGACCCGCGGCGUAUUAACUAGUUGGUGGGGUAACGGCCUACCAAGGUGAUGAUGACAAAGAUCUAGUAACAAAUCAAAUAAGCUGGAACAAAGUUCCAAGUCAAAGCUUCGACGAAG